CCUACGGGAGGCAGCAGUGAGGAAUAUUGGUCAAUGGCCGAGAAUCUGAACCAGCCAAGUCGCGUGAGGGAAGAAUGUCCUAUGGGUUGUAAACCUCUUUUGUAAGGGAGAAAAGUGCCCCACGUGUGGGUGUUUGUACGUACCUUACGAAAAAGCAUCGGCUAACUCCGUGCCAGCAGCCGCGGUAAUACGGAGGAUGCGAGCGUUAUCCGGAUGUAUUGGGUUUAAAGGGUGCGUAGGCGGGUCAUCAAGUCAGCGGUAAAAUCGUGGUGCUCAACUCCAUCCAGCCGUUGAAACUGAUGAUCUUGAGUGGGCGAGAAGUAUGCGGAAUGCGUGGUGUAGCGGUGAAAUGCAUAGAUAUCACGCAGAACUCCGAUUGCGAAGGCAGCAUACCGGAGCACGACUGACGCUGAAGCACGAAAGCGUGGGUAUCGAACAGGAUUAGAUACCCGAGUAGUC
This 459-nucleotide ribosomal RNA is filed under the name uncultured bacterium. RNAcentral's name for it is "partial 16S ribosomal RNA". It matches the Rfam family "Bacterial small subunit ribosomal RNA", at positions 338 to 795 of the family's 1533-position model. The record is from RNAcentral.